CCUGGGAGCUCUUGCUGCUAGGAGGUCUGGAACAACGUUUGGACUGGAGAUCAGGAAAGAUGCUGUCAGGAAUGCUUAGAGUGCUAGGUGUAUUCAUUUGCUGGUGAGUGCCCUGAAGCUGUAGCCCACAGUGUUCAAAGGAGGCUCCCUUUCUGGAGGACCGGCAGCUGUGAAGUGGGAGACAUCUCUGUGAAGGGCAAAUCUCAGAGCCCUCUGGGUCUUUUGUCUGGAAACUGUUUCAUCCAUAAGGAGACUUGUAUUGCGGUGUGCCAGAGUGGGGAGCCAGACACCAGUCAUAGGGGGUUCCUGGCUGAACAGUACAAGGAAACCAAACUCUCAGUGGAAAAGUACUCUUUGCUCUGGAAAGCCCGUUUUUUUGUUUUGUUUAUUUAGCUAUAUAUUGUGUUACAUUCUUCAGAAAUGCAAGAAAUGCAAUAUCCAUGGA
Molecule: long non-coding RNA, 445 nt
Organism: Strigops habroptila (Kakapo)
Lineage: Eukaryota; Metazoa; Chordata; Aves; Psittaciformes; Psittacidae
Exons: 2
Source: RefSeq, a predicted model, not a curated record